UCCCCAAACAUUCGAAUUUCUAUCCGAGACCCUCACAGUACGACUAAAACGCAUGAACGACCCUCCACGUGCGAUCCCUCACGAAACGAUACAUAAAAUAUCACGACUUUCGCAAAAAUACCGUUUUGCUAACACCGACCUCUCCUCAAUCAACGCGCGAUCUCCGCAGAUCCGUCCGUCAGAUUUGCGAACGGAUUGCACCAGUGCGAUCAGCACGACGGAGACAACAAAGCUGCGAUUUCUCUUCGUCUCGAUCGACCACGGAUUCACGACAAAACCCAACCUUCUUCGAAUAGAAGGAAACACACACAUAAAUACAUAU
RNAcentral lists this long non-coding RNA (322 nucleotides) under Ananas comosus (pineapple). RNAcentral's name for it is "long non-coding RNA (ACOM_LNC037943)". Lineage: Eukaryota; Viridiplantae; Streptophyta; Magnoliopsida; Poales; Bromeliaceae. The record is from RNAcentral.